UCCUGUUCCCAGCAGCGCCCGGCUCCGGGCGUUUCUUCGCUCUCCCACGGUCCGCGCCCGCCCUGCCCCAGCCGAGGGCACCCGCGCGGCCAGGGCCGCAGCUGGGAGCCCCGCGCCUCUCGGACGGCCGCGCGACUCGGUGACCACCUCGGAGGCCUCAGUGUGAGUCUCCGGAAAAUGCGGGUAGUCCCGCCGCCCUCCGUGUACUUGGGACCCUCGUGCAGUCCGGCCUUGGCCGUGAUUAGGGACCUCGGCCCCCGACAGCCCCGCCUUGCCUUCCCGUCUCCAGAGUCACUGCAGUCUCUGUCUCUGGGCUCCGAGUGGGAACCUCUGAGAAAGGCGGAAUCCGGGAGGUGGGGUCACAGAUCGCAGGCCCUUCUAGGAUGAGAAGCCCCCAGUGGGAAUCCAGGGCUGCAAAAAGGGAGGCGAGGAGGGGAUCUGAAAGGAUUGGACCAGCAGGGCUGUGGCCUGGAAGAGGUCGUGGCGGGCGGGUGGGGCUGGCCUGGCUUGGGCUCUUUCUUCCUCCCUUCCUCCCCAGUUUACGAGGCCUCACCUUCGGGAAACUCCCAUUAAGGGGACGUCGAAGGGCUGAGUCUUCCAACACUUUGGCCUUUUGUUCUACCUGUCAAAAGGAAAAAAAGACCCCGAAGUUAAGAAAUGGACCAACUGUGGAUUCUGCCUAUUGCCUUGUAGCUCGAGAAAAGUCACUGGAAGCACCAGUUUAAAAUCAAGCCUUGCGCCCUGGUGUGUGGCCUAUAACCUCCAUCUGACAUAUAACCUGCUUCCAUGUUAAGUGGAUCAAUCACACGCUUUUCUGGGAAAGCAGUCUCGAUAUUCCACCUAACAUCCUCAGGUAGAUCCUUAGGAUUUCCUUCUUAGGUGUAUUAUUAUUAUUACUAUUUUUAAGGGUUAGCCCAGCCUAGUCUCUCAGAUCACAUUGCUCCAGGUUCCUUCAAAUGACUGAUAUGAAUGUGAUGUUUUUAUGGCCUUAAGAAAAGAAAGAGCAACCCUUACCUAAUGAACUGUUUUCUUUUCUUUCUUGUUUUUUUUUUUUUUAAACAGGCCACUUGUAUAGGCAUUUGCUUUCCCAGCCCUGUUACUCCUCCAUUUUCAUACCUUCGCUAGAAGAACCAUGGUUUUAUCAUCUUGUAGGUUCCCUUGUUAGCAAGAUAAUAAGCUUGGGCAUGUGCUCAAUAGAAAUUUGUCUGAGACAUUUUUAUUUAUAGUCCCCUCUAUACCACUCAGAAAUACAAGUGAGUUAGUGUGGUGCCCUGAAAGGAGACAGGAGUCUUGGGGCCCAGGAGAUGACAGGGAUUUGUCCUCUCCAUCUUUCUCUAAUGCCAAUGGGCAGGAGUACUCUAGCUGGGAAGCUGAAUGUGCCCCAAGCCAACUGCUUGCAGAUGAGUGACAGUGUUUGGAAGCCUAUGGCUCUCGCCUUCUCUUCAAACCAGGUGCAUUCUGCAAGAUGCAGCAGCUGCCUACCCUUUUAGACACUCUGCCCUUUCUCACCGUCCUCCACUACCCCUCCCUCACUUAACCCCAAAUGGAAGCUCAGGCUGUCUGCCUUGUCUGAUAUUUCCUUUGGAAGAUGGAGAACAAAUACGCCCUGGGCAGUGACUGGCACUGUGUGACGUCUUGCUCCUGUAGCACACUGCACCUUGCAUAUGAUCUUUUAUUUUAUUUUUUUACUAUAGCCUUUAUUCUCUCUUUCCUAAGCUUGAUGUUAGUAACCUUCCAGGUCUUCCCUCCAACCCUGAGGCACUAUCUCACCAUAAGUAAGCAGAGGGUGGCCUUCUGACUUUGGGGUGGGAUUGAGACUAGAACCAAGUUAGAACUAUCUGCCAGAAACCCAGUUCAGUAACAGUCAAAGGAGCGAAAGGAUGCUGCUAAAAUGUGCCUUAGAGGGUGGGGGUGUAUUGGAUGAGUUUGGAUUUGGUUCAUGGACACUGGAGAUAGACUCACAAUGAAAGAGAAAGAAACAUGGGAAAAAGAUUAUGAGAGCUGGGGAAAACCUCAAAAUUAAUUUAAUCCACGGUGUGUCGUAGGUCACUAAGAUUUUUACACUCUUCCCUCCUGUAUGAGUCUGCUAGGGCUGCCAUAACAGAAUACCACAGACUGCAUAUCUUAAACGACAGAAAUUUAUUUUCUCACAGUUCUGGAGGCUAGAAGUUCAAGAUCAAGGUGUCGGCAGGUUUGCUUUCUUCCGAGGCCUUUCUCCUUGGCUUUCAGGUGGCCACCUUCCUGCUGUGUCCUCACAUGAUUCUCCCUCAGUUUGUGUUGUCUGUGUCCUAAUCUCCUCUUCUUCUAAGGACACAAGAAAUAUUGAAUUAGGAUCCACCCAUAUGACUUCAUUUUACUUUAAUUAUCUCUUUAAAGGCCCUACCUCCAAAUACAGUCACAGACUGAGGUACUGGGCAUUAGGACUUCAACCUGUGAAUCCAGCGGGGGGACUAAAAUUCAGCUUAUUUCUGAGGACAGAGAUCAAUGUAUUAUGUACAUUAUUGACACAGUUUGGGGAAUUCCCAGAAGUUAACCCCACAGAAUAUUUUGGCACAUCUCCCCAUCUACUCAGUAUUUGCAUAUUUCUAUUGCAGAAGAGACAUUUGGUUUUUAUUUCACUGUUUUUUGUAAACUAUUUCUGCCAGUUAAUUUAACUUCAUAGGUCUUUUUCAAAUGAAAAAUAUGCAAGUCUUCAUUAGCUGACAACAGCAUUUUAAGAAAAGGAUGGAGCAGGUAUUUCCUCUCCCCUGAGGCUGCUGAAGGAGAGAUACCUUUCCACAUUCUAAAACAAGCAGUCUGGUUAAAUGAAGAGUUAAACUGAGAACUUUCACAAGAAUUUCAGUCCAGUUCUUUGCAAUAAGAAGAUGAGUGAUUCAGAACUUUCGCUAACUUGUUCUCUUCUCUGUUUAAUAUAAUUUUGUCCUUGGAAGUGUUAUUUUUAACAAAGGGGAAUUGUUAGAUUCCUAAAAGUUUAAAAAUUGUUGCCGUGUCUUGGCAGUAUCUGUAUCUGUACCUCAGUAUCUGUCUUGAUAAUUUCUUGUCCUGGUGAUACCAUGGAAAGUCCUAUCUCUGUAUUCCCAAAAGUUAUAAAAUUACUUAGAAGAUUUAUCUGCCAGUUAAUAAUUUUCUUUCACAUGCAUGAUUUAAUAUGUGUGAUCCUAUGACUUCUAUAUUUUAUUAGCUAACAAAUUCUUUCUUUUUUUAUUCUUAAAAUAUCUUUUUUUACAUUAAUAGACUUUACUUUUUAGAGCACUUUUAAAUUUAUAGAAGAGUUGAGUGGAAAGUACAGAGAGUUCCUGUAUGCUUCUUCUUCCUCUACUUCCAUUUCUUCUAUUAUUAACAACUUGCAUUGUUAUGGUACAUUUGUUAGAAUUGCUCAGCCAAUAUUUACACAUUAUUAUUAACUAAAGUCCGUAGUUUGCAUUAGGGUUCACUCUGUAUACAGUUCUGUGAGUUUUGCUAAAUGCAUAAUGUCAUGUAACCACAUAUGUAUUGCAUACAUAGAGCAUACAGAAUAGUUUCAUUGCCCUAAGCAAUCCCCUAUACUCAACCUCAAAUAAUUUCUUUUACAUUAACACCACUGUGUGGUAAGAGCCCCUCCCUCGCCAACCCUCCUUGAGCUUGAUGGAAACAAAAUGACCUUUUAUCCCAACAGCCCUUUUUCAUUAUUUGUGUAUGUGUCUCCUACAUUUGUAAGGUCUCUGGAGAGUCAGCCACCUGGUGUCCUGAUAAACUUCCUAAAGAAAUCUUUCUAGGAGCAGUGUGAGGAGGACAGACGAGCCCUCUGGACUGGCAAGGCCACCGGCCAAGUACUGCUGCCACCAUGCCCAAGAGAAAGGCAAAAGGAGAUGCUAAAGGUGACAAAGCAAAGGUGAAGGAUGAGCCACAGAGGAGAUCAGCACGGUUGUCCGCUAAACCUGCCCCCCCAAAACCAGAGCCCAGGCCUAAAAAGGCCCCUGCAAAGAAGGGAGAGAAGCUACCCAAAGGGAGAAAGGGGAAAGCAGAUAGUGGCAAGGAUGGGAACAACCCUGCGAAAAACCGAGAUGCCACCACAGUCCAGUCACAGAAAGCGGAAGGCAGCGGGGAUGCCAAGUGAAGUGUGCUAUUUUGAUAGCUCUGUACUUGUAGUGACUCUGCUGUUUGAAAUACUGUUUUUUUUUAAAUCAACUUUUAUAAAAAUGUAGAAUUUUGUUUUUCUUUUUAAGUUAUAUUGUUAGCACACAGGACACUUUGUUGUCUUUUGUGGAAAGGGCAAAUACCACUAACAGAGUGUUUCAGAAGCUGGAUUAAAAUGGAGGAAAAUAGUAUUUUCUGUCCUCAUUUUUGAAGAUUAUUCUUGGUCCCUGGGAGAGAUUCUCUGACAUUCACACACGAGUCAGUCACUUUGGCUCAGACGCCUUACAGUGUGUGGAAGCAAAACUUCAUGUCUUUGCCUUUCCUGAUACCAUCAGCAUAUAUUUGACUUUCUGAACCCAAGAGUUAUGGUUUCAGAAAACCAGCAUCCCUAAAAUCAGCUGUGUUGGGUAAUAAUCCUCAGGCCUUCUGAUGAAGACAUCGACAUGGUGUUGCUCAAAAGAGCCAAGAUUCCUGUUUGCAAUUUGUGGAUCAUCCCAUUGAUAAUCCUGGAGUUUGUAGUUUUCUCCAAGUCAGAAAUGACCUGUGAAAAGCUCUUACAUGCCUCAUGUGAAAUAUCCACCCCUUCUGACAACUUUGCCUGUUCAAAGCAGGAACAGAAGACUUUGUUGACUUUUUGGGGAGGGGUGUUUGGAAGUUGUAAAAUGUUAUGGAUUGUCACCUAUGUCCUGCUGGAAAUAACUGUUUUUGAAAAGUAUCUUAUGGAGCUGUAUACAAGUUGGCUUGGUGGUAGGGGGGUAUCAUUUCCUACCCAAAGUCAUAAAGAUAUUCUUUACUGCCUUGUAAAAGUUUUACAGUUUUGCUUUUCAUACGUCUUUAGUCUUUAGAACUGGUUUUUGUGAAAAGUAUGAGAUAGAAGUUCAAUAUAAUAUAUUUUCCAUAUAGAUAAGUGGUUGUUGCAGCACCAUUUUCUGAAAAGUUCAUCCUUUCCUCACUGACCUGUAACACUGUCUCUUUCAUAAAUCAAGUUUGUGUGUUUGUGUGGGUCUCUUGAUGGUUUCUGUUCUGACUCACUGGUCAAUUUGUCUAACCUGUGGCAGUACUAUACAAUCGUGAGUAUGACAACUUUAGAAAAAGGUCUUGAUAUCUCAGGACAAAUCCCACCUCCACCUCCAACAUCAUCACCAAAUUUUUCUUCCUUGAGAGUAUCUUGGCUAUUUUUAGCCAUUUGCUUUUCCAUACAAUUUCUAGAAUUAGAUUGAGAAGUUCUAAAUCAAACAAAAAAAAAUGUUGGAAUUUUUAUUAGAUUUAUGGAUUAAUUACAGUGUUGAAUCUUCCAAUCCAUGAACAUGGUAUAGCAUUUAUUUAGGCUUUUUAAAUGUCUUUCAAUAAAGUUUUAUAAUUUUCUCCAUAAAUGUCUUCUUUUGUUAAUAUUUCCUGGGGACUUUAUACCUUUUGAUGCUCUUUUAUGUGGUAUAUUUUAGUUACUACAUUUUCUGGUUUUAGCUAAAGUUGAUUUUUGUAUCCAGCAACCUUGCUAAAUUCUCAAUUCUUAUAUGUCUGUAUACUUCUUUGGGUUUUCUGCCUAGAUAACCAUAUAUUCUGUGUAUGCAAACAAUUUUU
RNAcentral lists this long non-coding RNA (5697 nucleotides) under Equus caballus (horse). RNAcentral's name for it is "lncRNA (ENSECAG00000053228.1)". Lineage: Eukaryota; Metazoa; Chordata; Mammalia; Perissodactyla; Equidae. The record is from RNAcentral.